AGCUCCAAUAGCAUAUGCCAAUUUUGUUGCUGUUGAAAAGCUCGUAGUUGGAUCUACCCUGAGGAUGCGGUCUGUCUCAAUGACAUGCACUGUAUUCCGAAGGUAUAACAGUUGGUUUUCCCACGGUGCUCUUCACCGGGUGUCGUGGGUGACUAGCACAUUUACUUUGAAAAAAUUAGAGUGCUCAAAACAGGCGUUUCUGCCUGAAUAGUGGUGCAUGGAAUAAUGGAAUAGGAUCUCGGUUCUAUUUUGUUGGUUUUAGGAGCGCGAGAUAAUGGUUAAUAGAGGCAGACGGGGGCAUUCGUAUUGCAGCGUUAGAGGUGAAAUUCUUGGAUCGCUGCAAGACGAACAACUGCGAAAGCAUUUGCCAAGAAUGUUUUCAUUAAUCAAGAACGAAAGU
Molecule: ribosomal RNA, 400 nt
Filed under: phytoplankton environmental sample
Lineage: Eukaryota
Description: partial small subunit ribosomal RNA
Rfam family: Eukaryotic small subunit ribosomal RNA
Source: RNAcentral